Molecule: ribosomal RNA, 395 nt
Filed under: uncultured bacterium
Lineage: Bacteria
Description: bacterial SSU rRNA
Rfam family: Bacterial small subunit ribosomal RNA
Source: RNAcentral
UAUUGGGCAAUGGACGCAAGUCUGACCCAGCAACGCCGCGUGAAGGAUGAAGGCCUUCGGGUUGUAAACUUCUUUUGUGGGGGACAAGAGCGGAUGGUACCCCAAGAACAAGUCACGGCUAACUACGUGCCAGCAGCCGCGGUAAUACGUAGGUGACGAGCGUUAUCCGGAAUUACUGGGCGUAAAGCGCACGCAAGCGGUUGGCCAAGUCUGACGUGAAAUCUCCUAGCUUAACUGGGAGCGGUCGUUGGAAACUGGCGAGCUUGAGGCGAUGAGAGGGAUGCAGAAUUCCUGGUGUAGUGGUGGAAUGCGUAGAGAUCAGGAGGAAUACCUGUGGCGAAAGCGGCAUCCUGGCGUCGUACUGACGCUCAUGUGCGAAAGCGUGGGGAGUGAAC